UACCAAUGGUUUAGACUUGGA
Molecule: non-coding RNA, 21 nt
Filed under: Caenorhabditis elegans
Lineage: Eukaryota; Metazoa; Nematoda; Chromadorea; Rhabditida; Rhabditidae
Source: RNAcentral